This 76-nucleotide transfer RNA is filed under the name Rickettsiales bacterium. RNAcentral describes it as "tRNA-Trp". It matches the Rfam family "tRNA". From Rfam's summary of the family: Transfer RNA (tRNA) molecules are approximately 80 nucleotides in length. Their secondary structure includes four short double-helical elements and three loops (D, anti-codon, and T loops). Lineage: Bacteria; Pseudomonadati; Pseudomonadota; Alphaproteobacteria; Rickettsiales. The record is from RNAcentral.
AGGGGUGUAACUCAGUUGGUAGAGUAAUGGUCUCCAAAACCAUCUGUCAGAGGUUCGAAUCCUCUCGCCCCUGCCA